GGUAAGGUGGCCGAGAAGGUAGUGGGUUGUAGCCCCAAACACGGAGGUUUUAAUCCUCCCCUUACCA
RNAcentral lists this transfer RNA (67 nucleotides) under Allobates chalcopis (Martinique volcano frog). RNAcentral describes it as "tRNA-Tyr". It matches the Rfam family "tRNA". From Rfam's summary of the family: Transfer RNA (tRNA) molecules are approximately 80 nucleotides in length. Their secondary structure includes four short double-helical elements and three loops (D, anti-codon, and T loops). Lineage: Eukaryota; Metazoa; Chordata; Amphibia; Anura; Aromobatidae. The record is from RNAcentral.